UUGAUCCUGGCUCAGAAUCAACGCUGGCGGCGUGCCUAACACAUGCAAGUCGAACGCGAGGACCCCGCAAGGGGUUAGUAGAGUGGCGAACGGGUGAGUUACACGUGGGUGACCUACCUUCGAAUGGGGGAUAACGUCCCGAAAGGGACUCUAAUACCGCAUAACAUCCUGCUUUUGAACAGGUGGAGAUCAAAGCCGGUGAUCGCAAGACCUGGCGUUUGAAGAGGGGCCCGCGUCUGAUUAGCUAGUUGGUGAGGUAACGGCCCACCAAGGCUACGAUCAGUAUCCGGCCUGAGAGGUCGGACGGACACACUGGGACUAAGACACGGCCCAGACUCCUACGGGAGGCUGCAGUGGGGAAUUGUUCGCAAUGGGCGCAAGCCUGACGACGCAACGCCGUGUGGAGGAUGAAGGUCUUCGGAUUGUAAACUCCUGUUGCUCGGGACGAAUAGCUUCGACCUAACACGUCGAAGUCUGACGGUACCGGGUGAGGAAGCCCUGGCUAACUCUGUGCCAGCAGCCGCGGUAAUAAGGU
Molecule: ribosomal RNA, 535 nt
Filed under: uncultured Acidobacteriota bacterium
Lineage: Bacteria; Pseudomonadati; Acidobacteriota
Description: bacterial SSU rRNA
Rfam family: Bacterial small subunit ribosomal RNA
Source: RNAcentral